CCUACGGGAGGCUGCAGUGGGGAAUAUUGGACAAUGGGGGGAACCCUGAUCCAGCCAUGCCGCGUGUGUGAAGAAGGCCCUCGGGUUGUAAAGCACUUUCAGUGAGGAAGAACGCCUGGUGGUUAAUACCCAUCAGGAAAGACAUCACUCACAGAAGAUGCACCGGCUAACUCCGUGCCAGCAGCCGCGGUAAUACGGAGGGUGCGAGCGUUAAUCGGAAUUACUGGGCGUAAAGCGCGCGUAGGUGGCUUGAUAAGCCGGUUGUGAAAGCCCCGGGCUCAACCUGGGAACGGCAUCCGGAACUGUCAAGCUAGAGUGCAGGAGAGGAAGGUAGAAUUCCCGGUGUAGCGGUGAAAUGCGUAGAGAUCGGGAGGAAUACCAGUGGCGAAGGCGGCCUUCUGGACUGACACUGACACUGAGGUGCGAAAGCGUGGGUAGCAAACAGGAUUAGAUACCCUUGUAGUC
Molecule: ribosomal RNA, 465 nt
Filed under: Vreelandella stevensii
Lineage: Bacteria; Pseudomonadati; Pseudomonadota; Gammaproteobacteria; Oceanospirillales; Halomonadaceae
Description: partial 16S ribosomal RNA
Rfam family: Bacterial small subunit ribosomal RNA
Source: RNAcentral